Suricata suricatta (meerkat) is the source of this 195-nucleotide long non-coding RNA. RefSeq lists it as uncharacterized. The transcript has 2 exons. The record is from RefSeq and is a predicted model, not a curated record. NCBI's taxonomy places the organism in Eukaryota, Metazoa, Chordata, Mammalia, Carnivora, Herpestidae.
AUCUUAAUCUUACAAUUCCAUGGAAAAACCUGUAUACUCAACCAGUUGAAGCUUUCCUGGGAGACAUUUAUUUACUCAUAGUGCCUUCUUCUAAAAUAAAAUACGAUCCUGUAAAAGAAGAAAAGCAACUCUUGGAAGCAAAGCAACUUGAACUUAAACGAAUAGAAGAAGCAAAACAAAAAGUAGCUGAUCAAG